CUUGCACCCCUGGUCUUACUUUUUUUCCCCUUCGUCUCCCCAUGCUCCCAUCAAAACCCCCAAAUCACCACUCCCCUUCUCCAUCCGUCAAAACCUCCACCAUCUCCACCCACCAUCACCCUUCUCCCAUACCCGACCUGUAACCAGCACCAUUCAACACCGCCUACGGUGGUGAUUCACGAUGGGGAUGCGGCGGCUCGGGGUAUUACAGAAAGGUAGACAAAGCGGACGGAGAACUGGUUAGGGUUUCGACAAUCCGUUCACCAGUGUCGUCCCUCUAUAGCAACAGUGGGUUAUUGGGUAACAACGAAGAUGGUUUUGUAUCUCAGAACCGAAUAGACGACGCCGGCGAGGUCCAGCAAAUCCUCCGAAAAAUUAUAUGGACAGAGGAUUUCUUAUGAGCUUCAUCUUCAUGUUCUUGAGCUGGAUUUGAAAUCGAAAGGAGAAUCGAAGAUAUAUAAGUUUGAAGGUGAAUUAGAUCGCGAUUUGUGAUAAGUCCGAUUGACAAACAAAUUCCAAAGAUAAAUGAAUUGAUCCACUUUAGUCUCUAAAGUAAGUUUUAGCAUUGUAUUCAUUGUUUAAGCUUUAACUAGCAAGAGUUCACUGGCCUGUUGGGUUUUUUUAUUUGUAUGGUUAACACUUUACUUUAAAUUUGGUAUGUAGCCAUAUAUUUAUUUGGAAAUACGUCAUUCUGUUAUCUGGAUUGUCUUUUGCGUGGUGACGUUUGUUUCUCCUGUUAGCAAUCAUGCUUGAAAUGUAGGCGUUGUGCCUCUUUUGCUGUUGAUGUGCCAAACAAGUUGCCAUAUAAGUUCAGAGAAUAUGCGCCAAACAAGUUGCGAGGUGGACUCAACUUUCCUUAUGGUGGAACCGGGGUGUUCGACACUAGCAACUUGCAGCCAAACAUGACCACUCAGAUUGGGUUUCUUCAAGGGCUAAUUAAAGAGAGGGUCUACAUUACUCGAGAUUUAAAAGCAUCUUUGACUCUUGUCGCGGUCUCGGGUGAUGACUAUGGGACUUACACUUCUACAAGUGGCUCUGAGCAGGGCCUGCCUCCAUUCAUUUCAAGAGUUGUCAAUCAAAUGGCACAGGUUUUGAAGCUAAUUCAUGAUACGGGUGUACGACGAGUGUUGGUGACUAGCCUACAGCCGGUAGGAUGCCUCCCCAGAGAAACCGUCUUUUCAUCAUACAAGCAAUGCAAUGAAAGUCGGAAUACAGCAGCCAGUUUCCAUAACCAAUUGUUGCAGCAGGCCGUGACGACGCUGAACAAUAACACCAAAGAUUCUAGCUUUCUCAUUCUUGAUAUCUUUAGUGCGUUCAACACGGCGUUAAAGAGUAAAAAAGAUUUUAGAGGUAUAAUACUUGAUCAUUCUCAUUUGUGUCUGAGUUCGACUUUCAGAUGUAGCAAUGCACAAACGGUCCUGGCAAGCCUGGCCUAUGUUAUGUCCAAAAAGCCCAAUCCCUUGAGCUGCAUAUGUAUACCUCUUUUUUUAGUGGCCUAUACAUGUAAACUUGUAUAUUUUUUGUCCAAUUGAAGGGGUAAGGUCCCAAAAACCUCAUAAAAAGGAUUUGAGACCAUACCACAAUCCGGCCUUUCAACCUUUUAACCUUGCGCGGCCGCGCAUUGGUCUUACAAAAGGGAGAAAGUAAUCAACAAUUUAUAGUCGCGCGCCCAAAGGAAAGCAUAAAAUCCUUGCGCCUUCUUCCAUAAGCAAAGGAUUAAAAUCCUGAAGAUCAAUACUUCCGCCCAAAUAUCCAAACUUGGAUAUUAUUUUGCCCAAACUUGGGAUUUAUACAUCUGUGUCCACACAGUAAGGUGUCACACUAGAUUACAGCAGUAAUCUUCUAGAAAGAAUGUGAUCGUGCACCACCCAGACGGUUAUAACUGUCUGGACACGUGUCAUUACCACAGGCAUCCCUAAAACCACAACAAAGGCAUGCAAUUGGGGAAUGAUCUCCAAUUAAUCACUUUCCACGUGGCAACCCCCCAGCCAUAGAUCAAACCACGAUCCGUGUGCAUUCACAUCGGAUCGAGACAACUUAACGUAAAAUCAAAGAACUUAACGGAGGAAAAUGUAACCGCUACGGCGUUAGCAUCUUCCGUCAUCUUUUCAAUAACAGGUUUUCCCUCCCAAUCUCCCGGUUAUAAAUACGAGAACUGUUCAGGUAUAAACUCAGAUCACAUUCACUUCUCAAAUACUAUCUCUUCUCCAUUACCAAUACUUAUUCUCACACCGGAGUCGGGUCAAGGAGAGAACCCCCUUCUCCCCUUGGCGAGGCUAACGGUGCUCUUUUUUGCAGAACCACCGGAGAAGAAGUUCGGUAGCAACUGAAUCAACCGAGAGAGAGCUAACCCUUUUAUGCGGAUUCAAACCCCCUGGAUAUUUCGGUUCCGACCAUUUAUCUAGUGUUUCUUCACCAAUAUAUAAUUUUUUUAAGAAGAAAAGGCAUAAAAAGGGACCAGGCCGGCGGCAGGCCCUCUUGGAAUGACCAGGCUGUAACUAGCCCAAGUGGAGGAAUGGGCUAAAACAAGUAAAUCGUAUGGGUUUUCAUUAUUCGAAGCGGAAUUCGGAUUUCUUUGCAUAUGGUGGAACCGGGGUGUUUGACAUGGCGAAGUGGACCGUUCGACAAAGAAGCGACAUGGAAAUGCACCCAACAACCCCAGCCUAGAAAGGGAACACUGGAAACAUGGAAACGACAUCAAAGAGGCAACUGGAAUUCCCUGACUCAGAUCCACCAUCAAAAAGGCCUGGCAAAGGUGGUUUGGCAGAUAAACUCAAUUCACAGAAGAUGUCCCUUUUGGCCACCAAAAAGAAGAAGCAAAUGUGGGAUAGCGGUCCGGAAUUAGAAUCGCUAAAAGCAUUCCUUUUGUACAAAUCAUAGUUCAACCAGCAACACAUCUAUGGCUGCCUACUAACUACACCACGGAUAUAAGUAGCACCAUGAAUGCCUUUAGGACAACUUGUAACUAAUGGUAAACUACAUGCUAAUGACACCAGUGUGUAUAAACCGCAACAUGAUUAAUUAAUGGCCAGUUGUUAUUAACAUCA
Long non-coding RNA from Helianthus annuus (common sunflower), 3047 nucleotides. RefSeq lists it as uncharacterized. The record is from RefSeq and is a predicted model, not a curated record. The transcript is spliced from 6 exons. Lineage: Eukaryota; Viridiplantae; Streptophyta; Magnoliopsida; Asterales; Asteraceae.